AGUAUUAUUGGAGUGGAGUUCUUUUAAACACUCAGGCACACCAACAGUAUAGCCUGAGUGUAUAAAAGAACUCCACCACAAUAAUACU
This is a non-coding RNA of Pelobates cultripes (western spadefoot toad), 88 nucleotides long. The record is from the annotation of a GenBank genome assembly. NCBI's taxonomy places the organism in Eukaryota, Metazoa, Chordata, Amphibia, Anura, Pelobatidae.